GCCACGCCCGCUACAGAAACUACGAAAGGAAGUUGACGGGGGCCCGCACAAGCGGAGGAGCAUGUGGUUUAAUUCGAUGAUACGCGAGGAACCUUACCUGGGCUCGAACGUAAGAUGACUGUAGGUGAAAGCUUACAUCUCUUCGGAGCAUUUUACGAGGUGCUGCAUGGUUGUCGUCAGCUCGUGCCGUGAGGUGUCGGGUUAAGUCCCAUAACGAGCGCAACCCCUACCUUUAGUUGCCAUCAGGUUAAGCUGGGGACUCUAAAGGAACUGCCUACGCAAGUAGUGAGGAAGGCGGGGAUGACGUCAAAUCAGCACGGCCCUUACGUCCAGGGCUACACACGUGCUACAAUGGCCGAUACAGAGGGCAGCUACCUGGUGACAGGAUGCAAAUCUCCAAAGUCGGUCUCAGUUCGGAUCGGAGUCUGCAACCCGACUCCGUGAAGUUGGAUUCGCUAGUAAUCGCGCAUCAGCCAUGGCGCGGUGAAUACGUUCCCGGGCCUU
This 504-nucleotide ribosomal RNA is filed under the name uncultured Sphingobacteriales bacterium. Its description in RNAcentral is "bacterial SSU rRNA". It matches the Rfam family "Bacterial small subunit ribosomal RNA", at positions 903 to 1382 of the family's 1533-position model. The record is from RNAcentral. Lineage: Bacteria; Pseudomonadati; Bacteroidota; Sphingobacteriia; Sphingobacteriales.